RNAcentral lists this microRNA precursor (214 nucleotides) under Arabidopsis thaliana (thale cress). RNAcentral describes it as "microRNA MIR854". It matches the Rfam family "MIR854 microRNA precursor family". RNAcentral also lists the same sequence under 1 other name. The record is from RNAcentral. Lineage: Eukaryota; Viridiplantae; Streptophyta; Magnoliopsida; Brassicales; Brassicaceae.
CGGAUGAUAUAGAUGAGGCGGAGUUUGACACGAGCAUGUAUCAUUUCAGUGAGCAUAUACCUUCUGCGAGGGAAAGCACAAGUUUGAGCGAAGCUCACAGGAACAACAGCAAGCUGCAGAAGUGGUGCAUGAAACAGGACAAGUUACUCGCCUCAGGGCUAUCAAGUUUAUGAAGAACAAGCUCAGCUGCUCCUCUUCCACUACAGCUAUUCCG